GAUCAUGGCUCAAGAUGAACGCUAGCUACAGGCUUAACACAUGCAAGUCGAGGGGAAACGAUAUUGGAAGCUUGCUUCCGAUAGGCGUCGACCGGCGCGCGGGUGAGUAACGCGUAUCCAACCUGCCCACCACUUGGGGAUAACCUUGCGAAAGUAAGACUAAUACCCAAUGAUAUCUCUAGAAGACAUCUGAAAGAGAUUAAAGAUUCAUCGGUGAUGGAUGGGGAUGCGU
Molecule: ribosomal RNA, 232 nt
Filed under: uncultured bacterium
Lineage: Bacteria
Description: partial 16S ribosomal RNA
Rfam family: Bacterial small subunit ribosomal RNA
Source: RNAcentral